CCUAAAGGCGCAAUGAAAGUGAAGGUCGGCCUUGCGCCGACCGAGGGAGGAUGGGCCGCGUCACGAUGCGGUCCCGCACUCCCGGGGCGUCUCGUUCUCAUUGCGAGAAGAGGCGCACCCAGAGCGUACACGUUGGGACCCGAAAGAUGGUGAACUAUGCCUGGUCAGGACGAAGUCAGGGGAAACCCUGAUGGAGGUCCGUAGCGAUUCUGACGUGCAAAUCGAUCGUCGGAACUGGGUAUAGGGGCGAAAGACUAAUCGAACCAUCUAGUAGCUGGUUCCCUCCGAAGUUUCCCUCAGGAUAGCUGGCACUCGCUCUUAUGCGAGUCUCAUCUGGUAAAGCGAAUGAUUAGAGGCCUUGGGGCCGAAACGACCUCAACCUAUUCUCAAACUUUAAAUGGGUGAGAUCUCUGGCUUGCUUGAACGGUGAAGCCACGAGAUUUCGGAUCAGAGUGCCAAGUGG
Molecule: ribosomal RNA, 463 nt
Filed under: Pimpla sp. BJS-2011
Lineage: Eukaryota; Metazoa; Arthropoda; Insecta; Hymenoptera; Ichneumonidae
Description: eukaryotic LSU rRNA
Rfam family: Eukaryotic large subunit ribosomal RNA
Source: RNAcentral